This 77-nucleotide transfer RNA is filed under the name Klebsiella pneumoniae. RNAcentral describes it as "tRNA-Gln". It matches the Rfam family "tRNA". From Rfam's summary of the family: Transfer RNA (tRNA) molecules are approximately 80 nucleotides in length. Their secondary structure includes four short double-helical elements and three loops (D, anti-codon, and T loops). The record is from RNAcentral. Lineage: Bacteria; Pseudomonadati; Pseudomonadota; Gammaproteobacteria; Enterobacterales; Enterobacteriaceae.
UGGGGUAUCGCCAAGCGGUAAGGCACCGGUUUUUGAUACCGGAGCAUUCCCUGGUUCGAAUCCAGGUACCCCAGCCA